This 979-nucleotide ribosomal RNA is filed under the name Aeromonas hydrophila. Its description in RNAcentral is "partial 23S ribosomal RNA". It matches the Rfam family "Bacterial large subunit ribosomal RNA", at positions 206 to 1239 of the family's 2925-position model. Lineage: Bacteria; Pseudomonadati; Pseudomonadota; Gammaproteobacteria; Aeromonadales; Aeromonadaceae. The record is from RNAcentral.
GUACCCCGAGGAAAAGAAAUCAACCGAGAUUCCCUCAGUAGCGGCGAGCGAACGGGGAUUAGCCCUUAAGCAUCUUGGAAGUUAGUGGAACGGUCCUGGAAAGGCCGGCGAUACAGGGUGAUAGCCCCGUACACGAAAACAACCUUGAUGUGAAAUCGAGUAGGGCGGGACACGUGACAUCCUGUCUGAAUAUGGGGGGACCAUCCUCCAAGGCUAAAUACUCCUGACUGACCGAUAGUGAACCAGUACCGUGAGGGAAAGGCGAAAAGAACCCCUGUGAGGGGAGUGAAAUAGAACCUGAAACCGUGUACGUACAAGCAGUGGGAGCCCUUCGGGGUGACUGCGUACCUUUUGUAUAAUGGGUCAGCGACUUACAUUUUGUAGCGAGGUUAACCGUAUAGGGGAGCCGUAGGGAAACCGAGUCUUAACUGGGCGUCUAGUUGCAAGGUGUAGACCCGAAACCGGGUGAUCUAGCCAUGGGCAGGUUGAAGGUUGAGUAACAUCAACUGGAGGACCGAACCCACUAACGUUGCAAAGUUAGGGGAUGACCUGUGGCUGGGGGUGAAAGGCCAAUCAAACUCGGAGAUAGCUGGUUCUCCCCGAAAGCUAUUUAGGUAGCGCCUCGGACGAAUACUACUGGGGGUAGAGCACUGUUUGGGCUAGGGGGUCAUCCCGACUUACCAACCCCAUGCAAACUCCGAAUACCAGUAAGUAAUAUCCGGGAGACACACGGCGGGUGCUAACGUCCGUCGUGAAGAGGGAAACAACCCAGACCGCCGGCUAAGGUCCCAAAGUUCUGGUUAAGUGGGAAACGAUGUGGGAAGGCUCAGACAGCUAGGAUGUUGGCUUAGAAGCAGCCAUCAUUUAAAGAAAGCGUAAUAGCUCACUAGUCGAGUCGGCCUGCGCGGAAGAUGUAACGGGGCUCAAACCAGGCACCGAAGCCGCGGAUUCACGCUAAGCGUGAGUGGUAGGGGAGCGU